AGCAUCUAAAACAUGCAGGUCAGUGUGCCUUGAGGACCAAACGCUGCUUUUAGCGUACAUUUGAUCAUUUGCAGCAAAAAAAAAAAAAAACUUCUACCAUCAACAUGCAAAAAGCUCAGUCAUUUCUGCUUGGCCUAACAUCAUCACAAUAGUACAGAUGCUUCAGAACAUCAGAGGGAGAAAGAUGGAGGAGACGGCAGGAAUUCACAUAACACCGGCGCACCUCAGUUUCCAGGACGAUGUAUUCCUUUGGCGACGCAGGCAGAAGAAGCUGAAGCGUCAUGGAUUUGAGAAUGAAGUGGUAAACGGUUCACAGAGUUUGUAAACGCCUCUUGGAAGAAGAAGGUUCCUCUGCAUCGUUCUCGGCAUUCCCCCUCCUGCGGCUCACGACUCCCUGCUAUGCAAGAACGAGUCCCACAACACUCAUUUUCACUCCUUCACAAGCAAACACAAACAUCAAACAACAGCUACUACGACUCAAACCUUUAAGAUCUUCUCUCUCUUUUUUUUUUCUUGGAGCACCUACACAAGCUAUGGACCACAGAUUGUGUUUCCUUGCACUACAUAAGGUCUUUUUUUACCACACAAAGUAGCGUGUAACAGAAACUAAAUCUGUUCUUCAUGAUGCAAAAGUAACAGCUUUGCAGGAUUAAUACUCGUCUGGAAACAUAAUGACUUUUCACAUCAUUGUUUGCCUCAAAAAUCUAAUUUAUUUCAAACUGCAUCUCCUCUUCCUUAAAUGCGUUUCGUGGGAAACUAAAGAGUUAUGCUGUUAGGUUCCCAAACGCAGCAGGAGCACAGCGUGAGGCCGCGACACAUCAAAUGAGAUCACCUCCAGCAAGGGCGAACCUCAUCUGGAGGUCUCUGUGAGCGGACUGAAAACUUUCCACCAAAUGUCUUAAACUGACAGAUUUUUACCAUUAUCUUCCUGCAGAUCAGGAAGCUUUCUGCUGCAGUUAAUUGGAUUCAUUGCAUGAAUAUUACAGGGAACCAGAGUGCAACUAAUUUGCUCUCAAAUGUGACUAAAAGUCUCUGGAGUGCAACGUUUUUUCCCCCAGUUGCACUGGUGUGACCGACAUUAAGGCUGUUUGGUUCCUUAUGGAUUUAUCUUGUUUUGUAAAUGUUUCAGUUGAAAUAAAUAAUAUAGUAAGUAACCUGA
This is a long non-coding RNA of Poecilia reticulata (guppy), 1159 nucleotides long. RefSeq lists it as uncharacterized. Lineage: Eukaryota; Metazoa; Chordata; Actinopteri; Cyprinodontiformes; Poeciliidae. The record is from RefSeq and is a predicted model, not a curated record.